UAGGGAAUAUUGCGCAAUGGGGGAAACCCUGACGCAGCAACGCCGCGUGAGUGAGGAAGGUCUUCGGAUUGUAAAACUCUUUUCUUAGAGAAAAAUGGUCAUGGAGCUAAUACCCCAUGAUUUGAUGGUAUCUAAGGAAUAAGCACCGGCUAACUUCGUGCCAGCAGCCGCGGUAAUACGAAGGGUGCAAGCGUUGUUCGGAAUCAUUGGGCGUAAAGCGCGCGCAGGCGGAUUGAUAAGUCAGGUGUGAAAUCUCGAGGCUCAACCUCGAAACUGCGCCUGAAACUAUUAGUCUAGAAUGUCGGAGGGGGCAGGGGAAUUUCACGUGUAGGGGUAAAAUCCGUAGAGAUGUGAAGGAACACCGGAGGCGAAGGCGCCUGCCUGGACGACUAUUGACGCUGAGGCGCGAAAGCGUGGGGAGCAAACAGG
This 429-nucleotide ribosomal RNA is filed under the name uncultured bacterium. RNAcentral describes it as "bacterial SSU rRNA". It matches the Rfam family "Bacterial small subunit ribosomal RNA", at positions 355 to 776 of the family's 1533-position model. The record is from RNAcentral.